This 27-nucleotide small RNA is filed under the name Bombyx mori (domestic silkworm). Its description in RNAcentral is "piRNA piR-bmo-2058425". The record is from RNAcentral. Lineage: Eukaryota; Metazoa; Arthropoda; Insecta; Lepidoptera; Bombycidae.
UACUUGUGUGCUGGUAGGGAUUUAUCA